This 2725-nucleotide long non-coding RNA is filed under the name Fragaria vesca (wild strawberry). RNAcentral describes it as "long non-coding RNA (FVES_LNC000902)". The record is from RNAcentral. Lineage: Eukaryota; Viridiplantae; Streptophyta; Magnoliopsida; Rosales; Rosaceae.
UUGUUCUGGGGUUUGGGACCUUUGCUGUGUCUAAGCUGCUCACGAUUGACACAUGUAUGUUUUCCUGUUUUAGAUUAUGUUCUUGGUUUUUAUAUUUUGGAUUUGAUGCUCAUACGCAAGUAAGCUGCAGAGAUUUUAAUUGGGUUUGUGUUUGCAGUAGUGAGCUUUGAAAUGGGUAAUGAUGUUAUGAAAUUGUACUUGGUUUAAGCCAGUUUAGAGUUGUUUAGGUUGGAUGACUGCUAGUAUAAUGAUUGUGCUGAGGAAUGUCUUAAUUUGUUCAUGAUUGGUUUCAAGUUCUAAGUUGUCUUGCUGAACUUAGUUGAUCUUGAAUCCGUGGUUGAUUUCAAUAUACUGUUAAGUAUCUGCAGGGUUCAGAACUUAAUGCUGAGAGCUGAAUCAAUAUCCAGUUCUUUCCUCAUUGAUAAAAGCAUUUAGGCCCCAAUAAAAGUGUUCAACCAUACACUUAGGGGCUCCUAAUUUCAAUAUACUGUUAAGUAUCUGCAGGGUUCAGAACUUAAUGGUGAGAGCUGAAUCAAUAUCCAGUUCUUUCCUCAUUGAUAAAAGCAUUUAGGCCCCGAUAAAAGCGAUCAACCAUAAUUACACUUAGGCGCUCCUAAAGGGAGCCUAACCACUAGAGAGUCAAUUUAACCAAAAAAAUUCAUGGGAUCCUAAAUCUCAUAUAUACGAGCUUCUUGUUCGAAAACGGGGAAAAAUAGGAUCUCGCACGAUAUCAGUCAACCGCGUUUCGUGUAAAAAACAAGGUAUAUUUAAGGUUGACCGAUUCGAUGGGGAGCGUAACAAAUCCGAAACGGGGUGGAUUUUUUUCAGUAGACCUAUUUAAUUACCAUGCCUACAUCAGACGGUAAAAUUUGUAUUUUCAUGUAUUUAUGACCUUGGAUCGUCACGUGUCUACUAAUCCCUAUAACUUGUUUAAUAAAUUAUAUUCAAGUGUAUAUCAUUGCCAAUUAUACAGUUAAAACAAAAUUUUCAAAAAUCUUGUGAAAUAGGAUGUGAUCGAAAUAGUCGAAUACAACUAAAGAUGUAAAAUCACAAACUUCCGGUAAAGUUUAGGUCUCAAUAAAAGCGGUCAACCCCUAAUUACGUUUAGGCGUUCCUAAGGGGAGCCUAACCACCGGAGGGUCAAUUAACAAAAAAAAAUUCAUGGGAUCCUAAAUCUCAUAUAUAUGAGCUUCUUGUUCGAAAACGGGGAAAAAUAAGAUCUCGCACGUUGUCGGUCAAUCGCGUUUCGUGUAAAAAACGAGGUAUAUUUAAGGUUGACCGAUUCGAUGGGGGCGUAACAAAUCCGAAACAGGGUGGAUUUUUUUCAGUAGACCUAUUUAUUUACCAAGCCUACAUCAAACGGUGGAAUUUUUAUUUUCACAUAAUUAUGACCUCGGAUCGCAGCGUGCCUACUAAAACGGUAUAACUUGUUUAGUAGGUUAUAUUCAAGUGUAUAUCAUUGUGAACCAACUCUACAGACAAAACAAAAUUUUCGAAAAUCUUGUGAAAUAAGAUGUGAUCAAAAUAGUGAAAAACGGCUAAAGAUGAAAAAUCACAAACUUCCGGUGAUGUUUAGGCCCCGAUAAAAACAGUCAACCCUAAUUACGCUUAGGCGUUCCUAAGAGGAGCCUAACUACCGGAGAGUCAAUUUAAUAAAAAAAAUUCAUGGGAUCCUAAAUCUCAUAUAUACGAGCUUCUUGUUCGAAAACGAGGAAAAAUAAGAUCUCGCACGAUGUCGGUAAACCGUGUUUCGUGUAAAAAAAGAGGUAUAUUUAAGGUUGACCGAUUCGAUGGGGGGCGUAAAUAAUCCAAAACGGGGUGAAUUUUUUUCAGUAGACCUAUUUAAUUACCAUGCCUACAUUAGACGGUGAAAUUUUUAUUUUUAUGUAAUUAUGAUCUCGGAUCGCAGCGUGACUACUAAAACGGUGUAACUUGUUUAAUAUGUUAUAUUCAAGUGUAAUAAGAUGAGAUCCUAAAUCUCAUAUAUACGAGUUUUUUGUUCGAAAACAAAGAAAAAUAAGAUCUCGCACAAUGUCGGUCAACCAUGUUUCGUGUAAAAAACGAGGUAUAUUUAAGGUUGACCGAUUCGAUAAGAGGUGUAUUAAAUCCGAAACGUUUUUAAAUUCUAAAAAUCAUAAGAAUUAAGAGACGCACUAUCUACCCUUAUAAAAUAAUUUUUUUAUGUGUGAUUCAACUCGCUCGUAAACUAAUUUAAUUAUAUACAUCGACGUGACAUAACUAACUCUACUGACCCAUACCCUAUUUGUCAUGCAUGAUCCCCUGCAAUACACAUACCCAUCUACCUUGGCUUUUUUUGACUAAACACCUCUACAAGCUAGCUUCACCACUGUCAAACCUGUACCAAUUAAUUCUGUUUUUAUUUAUAUAAUUUUUUUUACGUAUUAUAUGAACACGACGACCUAUUUCAUCAACAUGGCACGACGAUCAAUGAAGACUUUUCUCCCAAUGGCGGAUCCAGGAUUUAGAACAAGCUGAGUGGGCUUGAAAUUGUUUCUCUUCAAAUCGAUUACCUAUCAAUUUUUAGCUAACUACAAUAUGUAUCUAAAACUACGAUUUAAUUGAUUAUUAAACAAAAAAAUAAUCCUUUACCGUGAAAAAUAGUAAAAUAACGACUUGCAAUAGUUAUAAACACGCGGCUACAAAAAAUACUUUUUUUGAGCUUGGUAUGUAUCGGGAGAAUUACAAGAAAAAAAAAAAAAAAAAA